RNAcentral lists this ribosomal RNA (679 nucleotides) under uncultured bacterium. RNAcentral's name for it is "bacterial SSU rRNA". It matches the Rfam family "Bacterial small subunit ribosomal RNA", at positions 66 to 734 of the family's 1533-position model. The record is from RNAcentral.
ACGGUAACAGGAAGAAGCUUGCUUCUUUGCUGACGAGUGGCGGACGGGUGAGUAAUGUCUGGGAAACUGCCUGAUGGAGGGGGAUAACUACUGGAAACGGUAGCUAAUACCGCAUAACGUCGCAAGACCAAAGAGGGGGACCUUCGGGCCUCUUGCCAUCGGAUGUGCCCAGAUGGGAUUAGCUUGUUGGUGGGGUAACGGCUCACCAAGGCGACGAUCCCUAGCUGGUCUGAGAGGAUGACCAGCCACACUGGAACUGAGACACGGUCCAGACUCCUACGGGAGGCAGCAGUGGGGAAUAUUGCACAAUGGGCGCAAGCCUGAUGCAGCCAUGCCGCGUGUAUGAAGAAGGCCUUCGGGUUGUAAAGUACUUUCAGCGGGGAGGAAGGGAGUAAAGUUAAUACCUUUGCUCAUUGACGUUACCCGCAGAAGAAGCACCGGCUAACUCCGUGCCAGCAGCCGCGGUAAUACGGAGGGUGCAAGCGUUAAUCGGAAUUACUGGGCGUAAAGCGCACGCAGGCGGUUUGUUAAGUCAGAUGUGAAAUCCCCGGGCUCAACCUGGGAACUGCAUCUGAUACUGGCAAGCUUGAGUCUCGUAGAGGGGGGUAGAAUUCCAGGUGUAGCGGUGAAAUGCGUAGAGAUCUGGAGGAAUACCGGUGGCGAAGGCGGCCCCCUGGAC